GUGAAUCAUCGAAUCUUUGAACGCAAAUUGCACUCUCUUCGGAGAGUAUGCCUGUUUGAGGAUCAGCCUAAAAAAAAACCGCCAUGUUCGCUGUUUCGCGUUGACUUUCUUCGGAAAUUGGGUCAUCUUAAACCUUGGGGUUUUAAGCGGCUUAAAAUUUUUUUUACGUUUCAACGACCGUUUCAAAAAUUUACUUCUUCCACUUUUAAGGUAAUCGAUCUUUAUUAGACUUGGCCUUUGAUUC
This 244-nucleotide unclassified non-coding RNA is filed under the name Glomus sp. RNAcentral describes it as "partial contains 5.8S ribosomal RNA and internal transcribed spacer 2". The stretch from base 1 to 65 matches the Rfam family "5.8S ribosomal RNA", at positions 84 to 154 of the family's 154-position model. Lineage: Eukaryota; Fungi; Glomeromycota; Glomeromycetes; Glomerales; Glomeraceae. The record is from RNAcentral.